Molecule: ribosomal RNA, 668 nt
Filed under: Salmonella enterica subsp. enterica serovar Typhisuis
Lineage: Bacteria; Pseudomonadati; Pseudomonadota; Gammaproteobacteria; Enterobacterales; Enterobacteriaceae
Also listed under: 5 other names
Description: bacterial SSU rRNA
Rfam family: Bacterial small subunit ribosomal RNA
Source: RNAcentral
UAGACCGCCUGGGGAGUACGGCCGCAAGGUUAAAACUCAAAUGAAUUGACGGGGGCCCGCACAAGCGGUGGAGCAUGUGGUUUAAUUCGAUGCAACGCGAAGAACCUUACCUGGUCUUGACAUCCACGGAAGUUUUCAGAGAUGAGAAUGUGCCUUCGGGAACCGUGAGACAGGUGCUGCAUGGCUGUCGUCAGCUCGUGUUGUGAAAUGUUGGGUUAAGUCCCGCAACGAGCGCAACCCUUAUCCUUUGUUGCCAGCGGUUAGGCCGGGAACUCAAAGGAGACUGCCAGUGAUAAACUGGAGGAAGGUGGGGAUGACGUCAAGUCAUCAUGGCCCUUACGACCAGGGCUACACACGUGCUACAAUGGCGCAUACAAAGAGAAGCGACCUCGCGAGAGCAAGCGGACCUCAUAAAGUGCGUCGUAGUCCGGAUUGGAGUCUGCAACUCGACUCCAUGAAGUCGGAAUCGCUAGUAAUCGUGGAUCAGAAUGCCACGGUGAAUACGUUCCCGGGCCUUGUACACACCGCCCGUCACACCAUGGGAGUGGGUUGCAAAAGAAGUAGGUAGCUUAACCUUCGGGAGGGCGCUUACCACUUUGUGAUUCAUGACUGGGGUGAAGUCGUAACAAGGUAACCGUAGGGGAACCUGCGGUUGGAUCACCUCCUUA